CAUAAAUACAUUAUAUAUAUACAGAUAUAUAUUUAUACAUAUUUGCAUGUAUAUAUAUAUACAUAUAUAUAUAUGUGAAUGUGGAUAUGUAAAUGUGUUAGCUUUUGCAUCUUGUAUGUAUAUAUGUAUAUAUAAAAGUAUGUAUGUGUGGAUGUAUGUAUAUGUGCAUAUAUAUAUGUUUGUAUGUAUAGCCCAGUUAAUUUUUUUUAAAGUGUUGUGCGAAAUUAUAGUACAAUAUUUUGACAUUAAUCUGUAGGAGAUAGAUAACAGUAAAGAUUAUUUCAGAUUACAUGAAUAAAAAUAAAAUUUCAAUAAAUUUUGUAAUAAAUCCUCAGAAGUCUGAAAACCUAUAUGAACUGUAUAUGGGGAAGAUAACAGGAAAUUUUAUAUGAAAACUAAAAUUGUUAGAAAUAUGUUAUAUAACCAAAUUGAUUUUGAUCAGGAACCUUGGAAAUUUUUAAUUAAUCUGUAUUUAGUUUUAUGUAAGUAUAAAUAUGAAGGUUAGACAGUAUUUCAUAUAUAUCUAUAUACAAAUUGGAUAUACUUGAAAAAGAAAAACAAAAAGCAUUGCUCCAGCAUGUCUAUAGUUUUCAUCACACAAACAAGAGUAAAUAACUGAAGGAGAUAUUUGCAUUUGUAUAUAUUUGACCUUAAUUUAUAAAGAGUUAUCAAGUCCUGAGUACAUAUUAAUUAACAAAUAUUCAUUUAUCAAAGGGAGGUAAUGAAUUAAUAAAUUAUCUAUCUAUCUUUCUAUGCAUGCAUAUAUAUAUAUAUAUAUAUAUAUAUAUAUAUAUAUACACACAUAUAUAGAAGGUUUCUUGCUGAGAGAAAGAUUAGUAUGUCUUCAACCAGAAUUCCAUCAAUUUAACUGAAAAGUAUGUGCUUUAUAGUUUGGAAUCUCAUUGAAAACAAGAUGCUCAUUUUUGUCAGCAUGAAACCUCUGGUAUCAGACAAGCAGCAAAAAUCAGAAAUUUUAUUUAAAGGAACCUUUCAUCAACAUUUCUGGUGUUGAAUAAUUAGUCUUCUAGUUCAUUACUAAAGUGUGUAUAUGAGCAUGAGCACGUGUGUGUACAUGUGAGUGCAUGCAUAUAUAUAUAUAUAUAUAUAUAUAUAUAUAUAUAUAUGCAUGUGUAAAUGCAUAUAUAUUUGUAUAUAUGCAUGUGAGUUUAUAUAUUUGCACAUUUAUCUAUUAUAUACAUGUAUAAACAAAUAUAUAUAUAUGCAUAUAUAUUCACACACAUGCAUGCACACACGUUUCCUUCAGACUGAAUUCAAAAUGGCUGUGACUGAAGUUUCUCACUGGCAGAGGCUUCACAGACUCUGCAUGCAAAUAUAUAUAUAUAUAUAUAUACACAUAUAUAAAUAUAUAUAUAUAAAUACACACACACUCACACACAUAUAUAUAUACAUAUAUAUAUAUAUGUGUAUAUAUAUAUACAUACACAUAUAUAUAUAUGUAUAUAUAUGUAUGUAUAUAUAUAUACAUAUAGAUAUAUAUAUGUAUAUAUAAAUAUAUAUAUAUAUAUGUAUAUAUACAUACAUAUAUGCAUAUAUAUACAUAUAUAUAUGCAUAUAUACAUAUAUAUAUGUAUAUACAUAUAUAUACACACAUAUGCAUAUUUAUAUAUACAUACACACAGACAUAUAUAUAUAUGCAUAUAUAAGUAUAUACCUAUAACCCUCACCAUGUCAAUUUCCAUGCUUGUAUGGGUUGGGCGGAAUAUCUUGAGGCAGAUUUUCUAUGGCUGGAUGCUCUUCCUGUCACCAACCCCCACCUGUUUCCAAGUAAAGAAUAUAUAUACUUAUAUAUAUAUAUAUAUAUAUAUAUAUAUAUAUAUAUAUAUAUAUACAUAUACAUACAUAUGUAUGUGUGCAUAUGUGUAAAUAUAUAUAAAUGUUUGUUUUUAUGCCAUGUUAUAUACGAAAACAAUUUAACAUUAAUCAGAAGGAUUACUCCAUACUUUUUACUUCUCUACAUAUUUCUUGACUGUGACUCCCAAAUAUAAGCUUACUUGCCAUACUGAUGAAGUUGAACAAGCCAAAACUUUGUCAUCACUAUCAACGUUUACCUUCUAAAAGUUAAUAUAUAUAUAUAUAUAUAUAUAUAUAUAUAUAUAUAUGUGUGUGUGUGUGUGUGUGUGUAUGUAUGUAUCUAUGUAUAUAUAUAAUGCAAAUUUACCUCAAAAAUAACAAGCUGAAACAGCUAUAAAUGCUAUUUUAACUACAAUUAAACUAUGACCAUUUAAUACCAAUGAUCAACUUCUAAUUGUUAAUUGUUGCUCCAUUUCUUUUCUUAUUUGAAGAUAUAUAUUAUAUAUAUAUAUAUAUAUAUAUAUAUAUAUAUAUAUAUAUAUAUAUAUUAUACAUAUAUACAUGUUUGCUAAUGUCUAUAUUUAUACAACUUUGUCUAAAAUAUAUUGAGAAGGUACUGGUUGCUGUGCUAAACAAACUCACAAUCAUCCAAUCAUUAUAUGAAUUUAGUUAACGGAGAACAAAUAUGCCUGUAUUGGUGUUGUUUAGAACAACACAGAUAUAUGGCUGCAUUUUGCAUGAUUCAUUUUGCAGUGUAAGUUCCUUUCCUUAUUACUAUAUAUGUGUGCAAAACAGUAUUUUUUCAGGGUGGCAAUUUUUUUCUUAUUGUCUUAGUGAGGUUCUCAACUUUGCCUUGCUGCUAACUUUGAUUUCACAUUCACAAUGUUGGAAAUUUAUGUCAAUUACUUUCAUGGAUAUACACAUACACACAUAUUUAUAUAUGUAUAUGUAUGUAUAUAUAU
Molecule: long non-coding RNA, 2774 nt
Filed under: Octopus vulgaris (common octopus)
Lineage: Eukaryota; Metazoa; Mollusca; Cephalopoda; Octopoda; Octopodidae
Source: RNAcentral